AUACGGAGGAUGCAAGCGUUAUCCGGAUUUAUUGGGUUUAAAGGGUGCGUAGGCGGUUUGCUAAGCGGGAGGUGAAAUGCCGGCGCUCAACGUCGGAAGUGCCUCCCGAACUGGUGGACUUGAAUGACUCUGCCGUGGGAGGAAUGUGUAGUGUAGCGGGGAAAUGCUUAGAGAUUACACAGAACACCGAUUGCGAAGGCAUCUCACGAAGGGUUGAUUGACGCUGAGGCACGAAAGCGUGGGGAUCAAACAGGAUUAGAUACCCUGGUAGUCCACGCAGUAAACGAUGAUGGCUAACCGCUGGGCUUAUCAGUUCAGUGGCCAAGCGAAAGCGAUAAGCCAUCCACCUGGGGAGUACGACCGCAAGGUUGAAACUCAAAGGAAUUGACGGGG
This 393-nucleotide ribosomal RNA is filed under the name uncultured bacterium. RNAcentral describes it as "partial 16S ribosomal RNA". It matches the Rfam family "Bacterial small subunit ribosomal RNA", at positions 523 to 918 of the family's 1533-position model. The record is from RNAcentral.